RNAcentral lists this long non-coding RNA (736 nucleotides) under Olea europaea (common olive). Its description in RNAcentral is "long non-coding RNA (OEUR_LNC009692)". Lineage: Eukaryota; Viridiplantae; Streptophyta; Magnoliopsida; Lamiales; Oleaceae. The record is from RNAcentral.
UAUUUUAUAUGAUGCACGACUUUUCAUUGUACAUUCAUUAACUUUUAUCAAAAUUAACAAAAAAUACCAAACUGGGCCAAGAACGGAAAAUAUUUACAGUUUUGCAACUAAAUUGAAAUUAAUCAGAGCACAUAAAUAUUUACAGUUUUGCAAGAUAUACCAGAAAAAAUUUAGUCUACAGUUCUAUGUGCAGUAACGUAACCUCAGGUGACAUACUGCAUUUGCUUGCAAUCGUGACAUGUGACGAUUAAUAAUUCGUUCUAUUUGCGAUUCCAUUUGCAGUAACGUAACCUUAGGUGACAUACUGCAAACCUAUUUGCUUGCAGUCGUGACACGUGACGAUUAAUAAAUUUUUUAUUAUAUAAAAUAAUAAGCAACUACCACGUAUAAAAAACACUAAUCGCCACAUAAAACAAAUACGAUACCCACUACAACAACAUUGUCCAUAGCCCCACCUUCCUCAAUAGUAACUAUCAUAUUCAUUAACAAUGGCUCUCCUUUUAACGAGAUCACCCAAAAACCCGAUAAAUAACAUUUGAAACUUGAAUUGGUGGGGUGCGCCAGGCCCAUGCAGCAGUGCAACGCUUGGGCGACGCUCGAAGGCCCAGGCAGCAAGCUACCAUAACGGGUCUUCCCCCUCAAAAAAUUAAUUUAAUAUCGUGUGGGUCAAUGACCCACAUAUCAGAUAUUAAACUGAUAAGAACAGAUACUACACUUGAUCUUAGCCAAAAGGCCG